Molecule: ribosomal RNA, 719 nt
Filed under: Acinetobacter baumannii
Lineage: Bacteria; Pseudomonadati; Pseudomonadota; Gammaproteobacteria; Moraxellales; Moraxellaceae
Description: partial 23S ribosomal RNA
Rfam family: Bacterial large subunit ribosomal RNA
Source: RNAcentral
GCUAAAUACUCCUGACUGACCGAUAGUGAACCAGUACCGUGAGGGAAAGGCGAAAAGAACCCCUGUGAGGGGAGUGAAAUAGAUCCUGAAACCGCAUGCAUACAAGCAGUGGGAGCACCUUCGUGGUGUGACUGCGUACCUUUUGUAUAAUGGGUCAGCGACUUAUAUUCAGUAGCAAGGUUAACCGUAUAGGGGAGCCGUAGAGAAAUCGAGUCUUAAUAGGGCGUUUAGUUGCUGGGUAUAGACCCGAAACCAGGCGAUCUAUCCAUGAGCAGGUUGAAGGUUGGGUAACACUAACUGGAGGACCGAACCCACUGUCGUUGAAAAGCCAGGGGAUGACUUGUGGAUAGGGGUGAAAGGCUAAUCAAGCCUGGUGAUAGCUGGUUCUCCCCGAAAGCUAUUUAGGUAGCGCCUCGGACGAAUACCAUAGGGGGUAGAGCACUGUUUCGGCUAGGGGGUCAUCCCGACUUACCAAACCGAUGCAAACUCCGAAUACCUAUGAGUACUAUCCGGGAGACAGACUGCGGGUGCUAACGUCCGUAGUCAAGAGGAAAACAAUCCAGACCGCCAGCUAAGGCCCCAAAAUCAUAGUUAAGUGGGAAACGAUGUGGGAAGGCAUAGACAGCUAGGAGGUUGGCUUAGAAGCAGCCACCCUUUAAAGAAAGCGUAAUAGCUCACUAGUCGAGUCGGCCUGCGCGGAAGAUGUAACGGGGCUAAAA